RNAcentral lists this ribosomal RNA (459 nucleotides) under uncultured bacterium. RNAcentral's name for it is "partial 16S ribosomal RNA". It matches the Rfam family "Bacterial small subunit ribosomal RNA", at positions 338 to 795 of the family's 1533-position model. The record is from RNAcentral.
CCUACGGGAGGCAGCCGUGAGGAAUAUUGGUCAAUGGCCGGAAGGCUGAACCAGCCAAGCCGCGUGAAGGACGAAGGUGCCAAGCAUUGUAAACUUCUUUUGUCAAGGGACAAAAUCAGGCUCGAGAGCCUGACCGAGGGUACUUGAAGAAAAAGCAUCGGCUAACUCCGUGCCAGCCGCCGCGGUAAUACGGAGGAUGCGAUGUUUAUCGGGAUUUAUUGGGGUUAAAGGGUGCGCAGGGGGACUGUUAGGUCAGCGGUAAAAGCCCGGGGCUAAACCCCGGCGAGCCGUUGAAACUGGCUGUCUUGAGAUGUCGAGAGGUAUGCGGAAUGCGCAGUGUAGCGGUGAAAUGCUUAGAUAUUGCGAAGAACUCCGAUUGCGAAGGCAGCAUACCGGCGGCGAUCUGACGCUGAGGCACGAAAGCGUGGGUAUCGAACAGGAUUAGAUACCCUUGUAGUC